RNAcentral lists this long non-coding RNA (1015 nucleotides) under Anthonomus grandis grandis. RNAcentral describes it as "uncharacterized LOC126740414". The record is from RNAcentral. Lineage: Eukaryota; Metazoa; Arthropoda; Insecta; Coleoptera; Curculionidae.
GGAUUUUCAGUUUUGCAUUUCCAUUGACUUGGUUUCCGUGUGUUGGUAGGAGCACACGUAAAAGUUUGUGGCCCAAGAAGAUGCAAGUUACCUAAAAUAUUGGUUAUUUGGCUUUAAUGGAACUUGUUUUACCCCAUCUUGACAUGAUUUGGUAAUUUGUUGGCAGGACGCCCAAAAUUUGAUUGGAAACUUAGCAAGGUUUUUAUUUUCUUCUCUAUUUUCUUUUUUUCUUCUUCGAUUACUUCACCUUGAGGUUGUGAUGGUGUUAAAUUCUGUGAUGCUCCACGAGUGACUCCAUAACAGUCUGGUUUCUCCAUAAGGAAAACCUAACCUCCACCUGAGCCCCCAUCUCUCACAAUCAAGACUUCAAACAGCCAGUUAUCUUGGUGAGACUCCAUGUAGGUGGAGAACAGGUCGCUUGGAUCAUCACUUUCGGAACCUGCAGUCUUCCAAUGGGCUACAUCUAAUACCUAUUGCCCUUCACUACCUGCUAGUCAUUCUUGAGGCCUCCUAACUGGUUGAUUUGCUGCUGCCUCUUUUUGGCCGAGACGUAUAGCUGCCAACAACGGACCCCCUUUCAGAACAGGUGGGCUCUGCUGCCAGUCGGAGAGACUCAGAAUUUCAGGUAAAUUUGCGUAUCUUGGAAACCAUAGUGAACCUUAAAGAAAAAAACUAAUGUCAGUGGAUCAAGCGCGCCUUUACUAGCACAUAAAACUGUUGAUCCAGCCAAGAAGUAAUAGCCAUAAAGUACACAAAGCGACAUACGUCAGAGUCUCCAAUUUAAUUACCAUGUACUAAUAAAAUUAACUUAAACACGUUGAUUAACACCAAUAAAUUGGGAGUUAGUGGUAGUCACUGUUCACUUUAUGUAAUAGUAUAAAUUUUCAGGUAUAUGUGUGAAUUAUUAUAGCUUGUAACAAAAUUUAAAAAGUAAAAAGUAAGUGCACUAGCUAAUUAUACAUAUAGUUGUAUAUGAUUGACUAGUCGUUUUUUUAUAUAAAUAUUAUUACAUUCA